Non-coding RNA from Oryctolagus cuniculus (rabbit), 1178 nucleotides. The record is from RefSeq and is a predicted model, not a curated record. Lineage: Eukaryota; Metazoa; Chordata; Mammalia; Lagomorpha; Leporidae.
GGGUGCCCCCAGGAUGCGAUCACUCAUGCAGAUCGUUAGUGAACUCAUUUCUUGCUUUUUUCCUAAAUUCCUAGACUCGACCUUUUGGAGCCAUCUCCAGAUUGUUCCCAAGGGGGAUUUUCCUUGCUCUUGCGGAAGUGUGUGCUGCAGAAGAUAUUGGAGCAACUGCUGUGCAGUGAGAGUUGCAGACACGCUCUAACCUACAGGGCGUGAUUUGCAGGCGACACAAGGACAAUGAAGGAAAAGCUGGGCUCUUCAGCAAGUGGCUGCUGGACAGGUGUAACAGAGCACCUGCUGCAAGCUGGGAGGCGGUGAGAGGCCAGCGAGGCUUGGGGAACACGGAGGCCAGCAUUUCCACCCCCCAGCCUCGCGCCCCCAAAGACUGUGCCCGCCAAGAGGUGGAGUCUGCAGGUGGGGAGGUGAUGGGGUCCCUGUGGAGAGGAAACAUCAGCUCAUAUGAGAGGACAUCAGAAAGCUCAUGGAAAGUGAGCAUUGUUAAAAAAAAAAAAACCAACUAUGCAAGGCCUUUAUUUUUGUUUUGCUACACAAUGAGCGUAUCUGUUAAUCCCAGUUUUCCAUCAGUAUUUCAAGGUGCCCCUUAGAGCCGUAGCAAAAUAAUAAGGCCUGAAGGAAGACACUGAAGGCAUUUGUGAAAAUUUUGGAGAAAGAUGGGAUUUGCAGGAGUGGACAUUUGGCCUAGCAGUUGAGACCCUGACUGAGAUGCCCGCGUCCCACAGCAGAGUGCCCGGGGUUCUGCCCCAGCUCCGGACUCCAGCUUCCUGCUCAUGCAGACCCUGGGAAGCAGUGGUGAUGGACGCAGUAACAGAGGCCCUGCCACCCACGUGGGAGGCCUGGGUGGAGUUCCCAGUUCCUGGCUCUGGCCCUGAGCCAGCCCAGGCUGUUGUGAACAUUUGGAAAGUGAACCAGCAGAAGGGAGCUCUGUCUCUCCUACUAAUAAAAAAAUAAAAAGAAAGUGGCUUUUGGGCCACGUGUUAGAGAGUGAAGGGGAGUCUGCCCUGUAGCUGUUGGCCAGGCCCAGUGAAGAACACUGUGGCUCUCGAGCUGUGCAUAUCUGGGCUUGAGAAAGAGCCUGCUGAAUCCUGGAUCCUGCCCGGCGCACGGCAGUGGGCAGUGAUGGAGGCUGAGGCUGGAAGGGAAGCAGCACCACUUCCUGGAGG